GGGUACGAAAUAUGUCCACAAAACCCCGUUUACGUCGUACCCAAAGCGAGAAUAAACAUGACAUAACAAACGAAAAAAAGAAAGAAGUUCAACAACAAGCACAUGGGAAAGUCGCAUUGAAGUUCAAGAUCACGGCCAAUGCAUGCGUGAAACACUAUGUAAACAUUUAGAGCAUAGCUGAAAAUAAAUUCCAACAUGCAGCGAUUUCAUGAAGUGCAACAGAUAAAUGUCUGCACAAUUUAGAUAAUUCUAUAUCCAAUAAUCUGCCAUGUGCAAAGGAUUUCGUGGGAGUUAAAUUUACAAUGACAAACACUUGAGAAGUUGAGUAGGAUUGCACUGCACACUAUUGGAGAUACAUGCAUUGAACUGAGAACCUGUUCAUGUGGGUUGGUUUUGACAGCCUUCCUGAAAUGUGUGACCACAUAGGUGAUACUGAUAAGUUGGUGGUCACAGUUAGUGUCUACCUAUAAAACUUUUAACAUGCGUGAGAGUGAUAGUUUAGUCUAGACAGCAGCACUGAAGACAUUAUGUUGCAGACUUUUGUUAGUAUAUAAUGAAAAAGAAUUUACAAAAUAAAUAAUAUAUAUAUUAUAUAAAUUUUGUUACUAUGGCGCCAAAUAAUUUGGACAAAAUCGACAAGUUGUCGCUUCAAAACCAGUCAAAUCCUUUGUGCUGCAAUGAGGUUGAUACAACUUUAAUGUCAUUAAAAGAACGGAAAAUAAACAAAGAUACAGAUGAAAGAAUCAAUGAAGAUCCAGGUAUUAAAGAAGUGCAUGAAUCAACUUGCGAUGCUAAUUUGCAGACAAGAAAAGACGAUAAUAAGAAUUACAAGUCGUGUUUAAAUAGCGAAAUGAAGGAUUUUAAAGUUUACCACAAACAAAAGGAACAUGCUCUUAAUAACUAUGUAAGCAUUCGUGCAGCUUUACUUGAUAUUUCACCAAAGUGGUUGAAAUCUUUUUUGAAGGAGCCAGAACAUAUGAUAAUAACAAAAGCUAAAAAGGGUGAUGAAAUUCACAGACAGGCUGAUUCCCUGUUGAGCACCGACAGUGGCUUCAACAACUACAGAGGGCUUCUAAACCUCUGCAUAAUACUUCUUGCAUUAGCCAAUGCAAGAUUGUUUCUCGAAAACAUAAUAAAGUAUGGUAUAUUGAUUGACCCCAUACGAUGGCUUCGGAUGUUCUUUAACCAGCCCUACAGCUCAGCCAAUCUUGGCCUAAUUCUGGGUUCCAAUGUGUUCAUCCUUGCCAUAUACAACACAGAAAAGGCCAUACAAAAGGGGUGGUUUUCGGAACAUGUUGCAUUUGUUAUCCAAGCGGUGACCUUGACCUUACUGGUGUUUGUUCCCGCGGCGAUAGUUCUAGUCUUGGAGCCCAACCCUUUGAUUUCCACCAUUAUUCUGGGCAUGUACACGGUGAUGUUCCUCAAGCUGGUGUCCUACGCCUCUGUCAACAAGUGGUGCAGGCAGUCUGGGUCUCCAAAGAGGCUACGACGCACUAAGUCUGUCUCAAUUUCGGAAGGUUCUCCAGUUGCCAACGGCAAGGAAGAGACUAUGCUCAUCAACUAUCCUGAAAACAUCAAUUUAAACAAUCUGUACUACUUCAUGUGUGCCCCUACACUGUGCUAUGAGUUGAACUUUCCCCACACUCUGAGGAUUAGGAAAAGAUUCUUGCUGAAAAGACUGAUAGAAAUGCUGUUCAUCAUUCAACUGAUAGGCGCUUGUAUCCAGCAGUGGAUUCUCCCCCUUGUCCAUAACUCUCUGAAGCCCCUGUCAGAGUUGGACGCGGCGCGGUGCGUCGAGCGUCUGCUGAAACUGGCGAUACCCAACCACUUCAUCUGGCUCAUGUUCUUUUACUGGUUCUUCCAUUCCACCUUGAAUGUUCUUGCUGAGGUGCUAAAGUUCGGGGACCGGGAGUUCUACAAGGACUGGUGGAACGCUGAUACAGUUCUGGGAUUCUGGUCUAGUUGGAACAUCCCUGUUCACAGAUGGGCCACAAGGCAUCUAUAUAAGCCGCUACUGAAGAUGGGCUGGUCAAAGCUCAAUGCAUCAAUUGCAGUUUUCUGUCUCUCUGCAUUUUUCCAUGAGUAUUUAGUAAGCAUUCCAUUACACAUGUUCAAGCUGUGGGCGUUCAUGGGCAUGUUAGGACAGGUGCCCCUGGCCCUCAUUCAGAGCCGCUAUAUCCACUGGAAGCUGGGAAACAUGGUGGUCUGGUUGUCCCUAAUCCUUGGUCAACCAAUCGCCAUUCUCGCCUAUUACCAUGACUACUACAUCAACAGCCAUGCAUAUGAGUCAUUUGCUGACGUGGCUAGUCAGAACAUCACGUCAUAGACACCUUUUUAUUUGUCAAAUGUUGCCAUAUUGUUCAAGCAAUUUUACAUUGGAUUCAUUUAUAUACAAGUUAUUAAUAAAUUGAUAAAUGUACAGGUACAUUAAGUCCCACAUAGAUUGUCUCUGUUUUAGAAUUUAUCUAUAUACCAAAAACUUACUUCAAUUAUGUGAAAUUAAAGUAUAUAAAUAAUAGUUAUUGAUUUAAACUAUGUUAGGCAUUCCUAGGAUAUUUCAUGAUCAAAAUUUGUAGUUAAAGACCAUUUAUUCAAAAAUAAUGUAUGUUAGUAUGUAUAUACAACUUUCAGCAUCAUUCUCUAGUCUUAUAAAUGAUUUCUUUCUUAUGAACAUUUAUCAUUACCAUAAUUGUUAAAAAUAAAUGAGCCAUGCUCUGUGAAAAGGGGGUUUAAUGCAUGUGCUUCGUGCUUCCGUGCUCUCUAAAUAGAGGGUUUAAUGCAGAUCGCACAGGCUAAUCAGUGACAACACUUUCCGCCUAAACUGGUUUAUUGCUAGAAAGAGACUUUAUUUAAACGAAAAAAACAUUAAAGAUGACACUGUCGUCCCCGAUUAGCCUGUGCGGACAUGCAUUAAACCCUCUUUUUAGAGAGCACGGUCCAAAUAUUUUGCCAAAGAUAUUUUUGCUAUAUACUUUUCAUAUUGUUUCUACUGAUUUAUCAAUACACUCAAGAUCAAUUUUGUUUAUCAUUCGAAAACAUGAUCAUUUAUACCUUGAUUGUUCUCUAGAUGUCCUUUUUGUUUGUUAAUGAAAUAUAUUUUGUAGAUAUAAAGAAACAAACACAUGCCAGUGUUUGUGUGUACCUUUUACAUGCAAGUGACAAUUCAAGUUAAAAUGGAUGCACCUUGACAUAUGUUUGAUAUAUCAUCUAGUGUAAAAUAAAGGGAAUAUUUUCUCUAUAAUUAUAUAGAAGACUAGCUACAUAUCAGCUGUCCAGAAUACACAGAUUUUUAUUUUUCUAUUUUUGUUUGAAGCUCACCUUAGCAAAAAGAGCUUAUGGUAAGCUAUUGUGAUAUCCCUAUGUCUGGCGUUAUGAGCUGUGUGUCAACAACUGUCUGUCUGUCUAUAAACACAAACUUGUGUUCUCCUUCAUUUUUCAAGGUAACCAUUCAAACUUGCAGGCAUUCUUAUUUACGAUUUAAAGUUAUGCAUUAGCAAAUAUUAUCGUUUUACACUAAAAAUUACCAAAGUAAGGCCCCUUUUUCAAAUCAGACAUUUUAUAUCAUGCUUUCACAACAUGUGGCAUGUUGUGGCAUGUUCCUGAUUACGAUGAAAAGUCCAAAGGCUAUCGUACCAUGUCAAACCUCAGAUACACCUUGUAACCACUCAAGAGACUACUACAUCUAUAACUCAAUCUUGAUUACACUGGCUAAGAAUGUUUCUCUCGACAAUAUAUAUGCUGAGUUCAUAUCUUAGUCUCAUGUGACCGAAAACUAGGUCACCAGGUCAAAUCUCAGAAAAACCGUAUCACCUCUCUAGAGGCCACAGUUAUGAUUACCGUAAAUCUUAACACUGGGUCAGACGGUUUCUCUUGACAAUAUCUAGACGCUUUAGAAGCUAAAAUGUUUACCAAACCUUGUUGGAUCUUGAUCCGUUUUUGUAUCUUGACAGUUUCAACGUGUUUUAAUCUUGUUCAAGGCCAUGUGUACGUUGAACUCUUCACGUCCACAUUGCCCUCUUGUUGUUUUUGUUCAUUUAAAUUGUAGAUAGUAAUUUGGAGUAAAAUUUAUUCAGCAUCUUUUAUCUCCAAUCAAACUUGAGUUUAUUUUUUGAACUUCAUAUUUGUAAUGCAUGAAUUCAAUAUUUCUUUUAAAACACUUACAUUUUUUAAAGUUAAUAAAUGCGCAAUCAUUUUCAGUAGUGAAAAAAGUGGUGGUAAAUAUAAUGUAUGGCACUGCAGGCAACUGUCUUGGUACAUUUUUGUGAUACGUAAGAUGUGAACACUAGCUUAAGGGUGAUUUGCGUAAUCAAGAAGCUACUAACCUGUACAUAUUAUUGCAUAAAAUGGGUGUAUAAUAAUAAUUAAAUGUCUCUUGUUACAACACUUGUGUUCGUUUGUUUUUAGAAAUAUAUGAAGCAUUAGCAAUUACUGUCGUUAUUUCAUGUGGAAUAACAUUUUACUUUAUACAUUUUAUAGACAAAAAACUAAUGGUGUUCUAAAAUUACAUAAUAAGUGAUUAUAUUAUAAUGCAUAUUUGCUGUUAAACUGCGUAUUUCAAUUCAGGUCGAUAAUGGUAGCUGAUGUGUGUUUUUGAUCAAUAAAUUGUUUUGUUGUAUAUUGCGUUUUAAAUUAAGUUGCUAUGUAGACACAGGGACCUAUACAAACAUAGGUCCCUGGUAGACGAUAUUUGUUUUCUGUCAGGGUAAUAUAUUUAAUUAAUUUUGGCAGUUAAGUAAACAAAUAUAUUUUUCAAGAGCUAAACUAUGUCAUUUUUUUCACUAAUCAAGCCAGGUUUUGUCAGUAAUUUGCUCUUUACUGAGCAAGGUUGAGACUGCACGAAUCAACCAUAUGCUACUAAUGUAAUCCAUUUGAAAGGGAUUGUCAGGGGCGUAGAUUACCGUGUAUAGAUGCGGAUAAAAAUAAGCACAGAUUUUUAUUGUGUCUGAUGUUCGUUUUCUUCUUUCUUGUUUUAACGCAACGGCGUACACCGUCAUACAUUUCAAUCAAAUAAAGUUUUACAUAUUUAAGUUGCGACGGAUGUCGGUUCAGUUCAUCAAGAAGUACCGGUAUAUGCUUAUUGAUUUGACUUCCAUGACACCUCGGUGUUGAUCAUGAUAUUGUCCAUAAGUUAGACCAAAUACGAUAGUGGAAUUGUUUAAGUAACUUGUAGAACAUCGGUCUGUGCAAAACCUGUACAAACAUCAACAAACCUUGUGCUGCAUAAAAAAGAUUAAAACAGGGACCUUUACAAACAUGGUUGUAUACAUGUGUAGGUCCCUGAUUAAAGCGAGGAUCUGUCCAUGAACUGUGCUUGUUCCGGCUAGUGUGUGUGGGUUUCCUCCAUCACGCUUGUUUCACGAGCUCAACAGCACGUUCAACAUAAGCACUCGAGACUAGAAAUCAUUUCUUAAUCUGCAUCUUGACGCGUCCUCCAAUGAAAUGAGCCUCUUUCUGGUAAAACGGGACCCAGAGGGGUCGGCUGGAACGUAUCGUCUGUGUUCCCGAAUAGCCUUCACCGAAACCCUAAAAACUGCAUAGCAAACAAUCCUUGAAGGUUGCGCUGACAUUUUACGUGCACGUGUCCUUUAGAAACAUUUAACAAAUUAACAAGCGCUGUAGGUCAAUGACGUAUUGUCCCGACGAAUUUCCUGCAAGCGAGGCAUUCCUCAAAUUACAAAAUUAUUAAAAUGCAUUUGGAAAUUGGGAUAUUCAUACCUGUCAUCGAAUCUACGAAUCACACUAUCAGAUGAUGCAGGUCUCAGAGGGCGGCGAGACGUGGCUCUUUCAUUGUACUAUAUGUAAUUAGACAUUUAAAAAUAGAAGAGACAACAUUUCCCGUUCAUGGACCUCGUGAGUUUAAAUGCAGAAUAUGACAGAAAAUCUUUCAACAGCAGAUAAAGCCUCAUGAACCAAACAAAAAAUGUACCGUUCUGGGUCCGUUCAUGUUUUUAGUGUUUUUAUAAAGUCUACAUAGACAAAUCUGACAUAUAAUUGCUCUACUUGCUACUUAAUUACACUUGUCGUUCCAUAUAUGUCAUGCUGCUUCUUCCUUACGUUUAUUAUAAUAAACCAUUAUUUGUU
RNA transcript from Dreissena polymorpha, 6081 nucleotides. It is a transcript of the gene named diacylglycerol O-acyltransferase 1-like, with no coding region annotated. Lineage: Eukaryota; Metazoa; Mollusca; Bivalvia; Myida; Dreissenidae. The record is from RefSeq and is a predicted model, not a curated record. The transcript is spliced from 16 exons.